This 494-nucleotide ribosomal RNA is filed under the name uncultured bacterium. RNAcentral describes it as "partial 16S ribosomal RNA". It matches the Rfam family "Bacterial small subunit ribosomal RNA", at positions 28 to 507 of the family's 1533-position model. The record is from RNAcentral.
GACGAACGCUGGCGGCGUGCUUAACACAUGCAAGUCGAACGGUGAAGCGCCUUCCUUUUUGGUGGGUGUGGAUGAGUGGCGAACGGGUGAGUAACACGUGAGUAACCUGCCCCCUUCUUCUGGAUAACCGCAUGAAAGUGUGGCUAAUACGGGAUAUUCUGGGUCUGUCGCAUGAUGGGUCUGGGAAAGAUAUUGUUUCGGUGGGGGAUGGGCUCGCGGCCUAUCAGCUUGUUGGUGGGGUGAUGGCCUACCAAGGCGGUGACGGGUAGCCGGCCUGAGAGGGUGGACGGCAACAGUGGGGAGGAGACGUGGACAAGGCUACUAGGGGCGGCAGCGGGGGGGAAUGGUGAACAAGGGGCGGCAGGCUGGUGCAGCGCCGCCGGGUGGGGGAUGGUGUCCGUCUGGUUGUGAACUGCUUUCGCGGGUGAAGCAGGGCGGCCUCGUUUGUGGGUGGGUUGACGGUAGCUGGUUAAAAAGCGACGGCUAACUACGUG